This 854-nucleotide ribosomal RNA is filed under the name uncultured bacterium. Its description in RNAcentral is "bacterial SSU rRNA". It matches the Rfam family "Bacterial small subunit ribosomal RNA", at positions 143 to 994 of the family's 1533-position model. The record is from RNAcentral.
AUAACUACUGGAAACGGUAGCUAAUACCGCAUAAUCUCUAAGGAGCAAAGGGCGGGACUAUAAUGNCCUCACACCUUCGGAUGAACCCAUAUGAGAUUAGCUAGUAGGUGGAGUAACGGUUCACCUAGGCAACGAUCUCUAGCUGGUCUGAGAGGACGAUCAGCCACACUGGGACUGAGACACGGCCCAGACUCCUACGGGAGGCAGCAGUGGGGAAUAUUGCACAAUGGGCGCAAGCCUGAUGCAGCCAUGCCGCGUGUAUGAAGAAGGCCUUCGGGUUGUAAAGUACUUUCAGUCGUGAAGAAGGUGUUAGGGUUAAUAACCUUAGCAAUUGACGUUAGCGACAUAAGAAGCACCGGCUAACUCCGUGCCAGCAGCCGCGGUAAUACGGAGGGUGCGAGCGUUAAUCGGAAUUACUGGGCGUAAGGGCACGCAGGCGGUUAGUUAAGUUGGAUGUGAAAUCCCUGGGCUUAACCUAGGAAUGGCAUUCAAAACUGGUUAGCUAGAGUCUUGUAGAGGAGGGUAGAAUUCCAUGUGUAGCGGUGAAAUGCGUAGAGAUGUGGAGGAAUACCGGGCGAAGGCGGCUCUCUGGACAAAGACUGACGCUCAUGUGCGAAAGCGUGGGGAGCAAACAGGAUUAGAUACCUUGGUAGUCCACGCUGUAAACGAUGUCGAUUUGGAGGUUGUGGUCAUGAAUUGUAGCCUUCGGAGCUAACGCGUUAAAUUGACCGCCUGGGGAGUACGGCCGCAAGGUUAAAACUCAAAUGAAUUGACGGGGGCCCGCACAAGCGGUGGGGCAUGUGGUUUAAUUCGAUGCAACGCGAAGAACCUUACCUACUCUUGACAUCCAGCGU